Molecule: unclassified non-coding RNA, 235 nt
Filed under: Spizellomyces punctatus
Lineage: Eukaryota; Fungi; Chytridiomycota; Chytridiomycetes; Spizellomycetales; Spizellomycetaceae
Description: partial internal transcribed spacer 2
Source: RNAcentral
UUAAUAUCUCACCAAGUUAUGGGUGGAAGCUCAUAACAAGGUGGAAUUUGGAUGUUUUUGUCUCUGUACAAUCAUCUUAAAGUGAUCGUAUGUGCUUGAGUGUGCUCUGGCAGUUGGGUACCAACGUGCAACAGAUUUUAUCUUUUCGCUUUGGUAUUUAAUUGAAAUCAGGUACCUGAAGUGUAUAUUUGCUGGCUUACAGAUGUUAUGCAUAAUGCAUGUAUGGCUUCUGAUA